Molecule: ribosomal RNA, 465 nt
Filed under: uncultured bacterium
Lineage: Bacteria
Description: partial 16S ribosomal RNA
Rfam family: Bacterial small subunit ribosomal RNA
Source: RNAcentral
GACGAACGCUGGCGGCGUGCUUAACACAUGCAAGUCGAACGGAAAGCCCCUGCUUGCAGGGUACUCGAGUGGCGAACGGGUGAGUAACACGUGGGUGAUCUGCCCUGCACUUCGGGAUAAGCCUGGGAAACUGGGUCUAAUACCGGAUAGGAGCCAUUUUUAGUGUGAUGGUUGGAAAGUUUUUUCGGUGUAGGAUGAGCUCGCGGCCUAUCAGCUUGUUGGUGGGGUAAUGGCCUACCAAGGCGGCGACGGGUAGCCGGCCUGAGAGGGUGGACGGCCACAUUGGGACUGAGAUACGGCCCAGACUCCUACGGGAGGCAGCAGUGGGGAAUAUUGCACAAUGGGCGCAAGCCUGAUGCAGCGACGCCGCGUGGGGGAUGACGGCCUUCGGGUUGUAAACUCCUUUCGCUAGGGACGAAGCUUUUUGUGACGGUACCUAGAUAAGAAGCACCGGCUAACUACGUG